GGCGUGGUUCCCGAGCGGCCAAAGGGAGCAGACUGUAAAUCUGCCGGUUUAUACCUUCGAUGGUUCGAAUCCAUCCCGCGCCACCA
RNAcentral lists this transfer RNA (86 nucleotides) under Halobacteriovoraceae bacterium. RNAcentral's name for it is "tRNA-Tyr". It matches the Rfam family "tRNA". Rfam says of the family: Transfer RNA (tRNA) molecules are approximately 80 nucleotides in length. Their secondary structure includes four short double-helical elements and three loops (D, anti-codon, and T loops). Further hydrogen bonds mediate the characteristic L-shaped molecular structure. tRNAs have two regions of fundamental functional importance: the anti-codon, which is responsible for specific mRNA codon recognition, and the 3' end, to which the tRNAs corresponding amino acid is attached (by aminoacyl-tRNA synthetases). tRNAs cope with the degeneracy of the genetic code in two manners: having more than one tRNA (with a specific anti-codon) for a particular amino acid; and 'wobble' base-pairing, i.e. permitting non-standard base-pairing at the 3rd anti-codon position. Lineage: Bacteria; Pseudomonadati; Bdellovibrionota; Bacteriovoracia; Bacteriovoracales; Halobacteriovoraceae. The record is from RNAcentral.